This 397-nucleotide ribosomal RNA is filed under the name uncultured bacterium. Its description in RNAcentral is "partial 16S ribosomal RNA". It matches the Rfam family "Bacterial small subunit ribosomal RNA", at positions 523 to 918 of the family's 1533-position model. The record is from RNAcentral.
AUACGUAGGGGGCGAGCGUUGUCCGGAAUGAUUGGGCGUAAAGGGCGCGUAGGCGGCGCGGUAAGUCUGGAGUGAAAGUCCUGCUUUCAAGGUGGGAAUUGCUUUGGAUACUGCCGCGCUCGAGUGCAGGAGAGGUUAUCGGAAUUCCCGGUGUAGCGGUGAAAUGCGUAGAGAUCGGGAGGAACACCAGUGGCGAAGGCGGGUAACUGGACUGCAACUGACGCUGAGGCGCGGAAGUGUGGGGAGCAAACAGGAUUAGAUACCCUGGUAGUCCACGCGGUAAACGAUGAAUGCUAGGUGUUGCGGGUAUCGACCCCUGCAGUGCCGGAGUAAACACAAUAAGCGUUCCGCCUGGGGAGUACGGCCGCAAGGUUGAAACUCAAAUGAAUUGGCGGGG